Molecule: ribosomal RNA, 335 nt
Filed under: uncultured bacterium
Lineage: Bacteria
Description: bacterial SSU rRNA
Rfam family: Bacterial small subunit ribosomal RNA
Source: RNAcentral
CGCGUAGGCGGCCGAUUCAAGUCGGGUGUGAAAGCCCGGGGGCUCAACCCCGGAUGUGCACUCGAGACUGACUGGCUCGAGGGAUGGGAGAGGAUGGUGGAAUUCCCAGUGUAGAGGUGAAAUUCGUAGAUAUUGGGAAGAACACCGGUGGCGAAGGCGGCCAUCUGGACCAUUUCUGACGCUGAGGCGCGAAAGCGUGGGGAGCAAACAGGAUUAGAUACCCUGGUAGUCCACGCCGUAAACGAUGAGUGCUAGACGUUGGGGCGCGUAGCGCUUCGGUGUCGCAGCUAACGCAUUAAGCACUCCGCCUGGGGAGUACGGCCGCAAGGUUAAAA